AUCCGAGAACUGGAGGAUAAGCUGGAGGUCCAGAGGCGACAUCUGAAAGAACUGGAGGAAAAGCAUUCAUUCUGUGGCCUUGAUGACUUCCGUGAGCCAAGAACUCGGGAUAGAAAAAGAGCUUAUGGAGUAAACUGAGUCCCUAUGGCAACCCCUACCCCACUCUAACCAAAAUUCAACAGCAAAGCAAGCUAUUCAAGCCCAGAGACUGAAACCAGAAUUCACAUAUGCUUGACUACAGCUCGAAAGGGAAGCCUUUUGGGUCUGUGGCUGGGUUCUGGCCAGGCCUAACUGUAGGAGUUCUAUAGGGACGAUGAAAACUUUGUCAAGCUCGGGGCCAUAUCUGAGUCCCCACUGUAGCACCUUCAAGAGCCCAAGGGGCAGAGACCUGAAUACCAGGAAACUAAGUGCAAUUACCAGAAACUGAGUGACUGGGGAGCCGCUGCAUUGUCUGU
This is a long non-coding RNA of Diceros bicornis minor, 455 nucleotides long. RefSeq lists it as uncharacterized. The record is from RefSeq and is a predicted model, not a curated record. Lineage: Eukaryota; Metazoa; Chordata; Mammalia; Perissodactyla; Rhinocerotidae. The transcript has 3 exons.